RNAcentral lists this unclassified non-coding RNA (208 nucleotides) under Hevea brasiliensis (rubber tree). The record is from RNAcentral. Lineage: Eukaryota; Viridiplantae; Streptophyta; Magnoliopsida; Malpighiales; Euphorbiaceae.
AAAAUCCACGCUCCUCAAAGUCUCUGCACUGUUGGCGGGGAAUGCCCAAAUUUAAUGAAGAAUUUACUGCUGGUCUGAGUUUUCCUUGCAAACCAAUGGAAUGGAGUGCAUCAAGGCCACCAUUGGGUACUCCCGGAAUCAAUCCAAAUGCAUUCCAGGAAGCAUUUUGUGCAUGCGAUACAUUUGGCAAUCCCCUUCCUGCAAAGAG